AGAGCGAACGCUGGCGGCAGGCCUAACACAUGCAAGUCGAACGGACCCUUCGGGGUUAGUGGCGGACGGGUGAGUAACACGUGGGAACGUGCCUUUAGGUUCGGAAUAGCUCCUGGAAACGGGUGGUAGUGCCGAAUGUGCCCUUCGGGGGAAAGAUUUAUCGCCUUUAGAGCGGCCCGCGUCUGAUUAGCUUGUUGGUGAGGUAAUGGCUCACCAAGGCUACGAUCAGUAGCUGGUCUGAGAGGAUGACCAGCCACAUUGGGACUGAGACACGGCCCAAACUCCUACGGGAGGCAGCAGUGGGGAAUCUUGCGCAAUGGGCGAAAGCCUGACGCAGCCAUGCCGCGUGUAUGAUGAAGGUCUUAGGAUUAGUAAAAAUACUUUCAACCGGUGAAAGAUAAUGAACUGUAAGCCGGAGAAGAAAGCCCCGGAUAACUUCGUGACCAGCAGCCGC
RNAcentral lists this ribosomal RNA (454 nucleotides) under uncultured soil bacterium. RNAcentral describes it as "bacterial SSU rRNA". It matches the Rfam family "Bacterial small subunit ribosomal RNA", at positions 26 to 518 of the family's 1533-position model. The record is from RNAcentral.